UCUCUCAUGCACUCCGGUCAUCUCUCCAUCUCCGCAUACAGUUAGCUCUUGAUGCACUUUACUCCAAGAGCCCAACGAAAUCAGCUAGCCGAACGAGAUAAUUGCAAAUCGCCAUUAUUUAUAGAAGUGUCGGUAAACUGUGCUACGGUUCUCCUAGUUCUCUUCUCUUCGAAAGUGUUCUUCAACCUCGUUAAUUCCGUUCCGAUGAGCAAUCCACCCCAUAUAGAAAACACACAGAGAAUAUCUAGACUAGAAAAUUGUCUAUGAAAUAUGUCGAUACGAACGAAACCACGAUGACUAUUAUUUUACUGGUUUGCCGCAUAGAUAAACAUAAUUGACUACAUAAACAGAAAAUGGUCAUACCAAAAGAUGACGACGAGAGCAACCAAGACUAUCUUUUCUACUCUCGUCAACGUAGGAUUUAAGACAUUGCCGGCUUGGGUUACACAUCACGGAUAAAAGGAGGAGAUACGUUUCUCAUGUUUUGCCGAGAAAUUCUCGUAAAUUCUUCAACAUGGACCAACCUUUCCUCGUCCUCCAUUCUCGCAUAUCCUUUACCAUAGAAUGUUAGGACCGACUAAGGUGUCGUAAAAAAGAGGGGAAAGAGAUUUAUGCUUGGAUUUGUUUAAUUGUUUUAGUCUCGUCGCCGUGAGAUCCACGAAUUCGCGUACUAAAUAACAAACUCCCCCGACGGGGGUAUUUCAAAUAAAAGAAAAAGAGAGAGAGAGAGAGAGAGAGAGAGAAAGAAAAAAAACAGAAGCGAGAGAAAGAUACGUAGCUAAAUGUUACGACGAUUGAAAAAUAGCACUCGAAACGAAUACCUAUGUAUUCGUAUUUUCAAAUCGAGAGAAAUCGUUGUCGAUUCGUCCGAUGUUCCAAUGCAUCUGCAUCGCAAUGUUUCAAUGGGGAAGAUCGAGAGACUCAGAGUACAUCGUGAUAAUUUAAUGGAAUCCAAAGGAGGAGUAUAGAUAUUUUAUUCUUUUUUUCUUUUUUUAUAGAGUGACUGUGAGGGAAAAAAAAUAAAACAAAGCAAAAAAGAGAGAAAGAAAUCGAAAGGAUAACAGUGAGUCAGUGGUCGUUGUAAAAAAGAAAAAAAAAAAAAGAAAAAGACAAAAAAAAACGUUUCAAAGAUUCACAGUUCUUGUCGGACAUCUCGGGUUAAAGGUUUUACGAACGAAUCGAUACAAACGGGUCACACUGCACCUCCUAACGAUGUAAUCAUUUAAUGGACUUUCUCGUCGUAAGCGAUGAACCAUCAAGAAAAUCCAAGACGAGGGAUGAAAGUACGCGGUAAAUUCAACUCUUUUUCAUCGGCGCACCGAACGAUCCGUUCUUUGAUAUAGAAAAGGAUGGAGAGGAAGAGGAAAGUAAAAAGUUACGUUAGGAAAUAACACGAAAGCCUUCGAGUUUAGCAAACAAAAUUAAAUUACUCUGAAUAUAUAACUUUUACGUAUCUAUUCGACCCCAUCUCCUGUCUAUAUCUACGAUAUUCUAAUCUAAUAACUUACUAUACAAUUCAUUGUACAAUAUAUCGUCUACAAAUAUAUCGUCGAUCAAAAUUAUGUUAUUAUAGAAUCUUUCCAAUUUAUUCUAUAUGAAAUAUAUUACAAAAUAUUAUUUAUAUCGUAUGACGAAUUAUCGGGCUUGAUUUUUAAUAAAUUUCUUUGUAAUUACACAAGAGAUUUUCGUGUCAACGAAAAAAGAAAAAUUGUUGGACGUAUCAGAAUACUUGUAACGUUUCGUAAAGGCACAAAAAGAUAUGAUGCUUUUAAAGUAAACACGAUGCAUAAAUCUGUCCAGUCGUUGUUCUUCAUCGAAGCGUAUAAAAAAUAUGUCAAGCUUUUAUA
Long non-coding RNA from Vespula pensylvanica (western yellowjacket), 1847 nucleotides. RefSeq lists it as uncharacterized. The record is from RefSeq and is a predicted model, not a curated record. Lineage: Eukaryota; Metazoa; Arthropoda; Insecta; Hymenoptera; Vespidae. The transcript has 3 exons.